CCCAAGUUCCAAACCCGUUUCCAUACCUGAACCGCCGGAUUUGAUACAGCUGCUUAUCAUCCAACAUCACAUCCCCUCGGUACAUAAAAAUAUGAUACACCUGCUCAACACUCCAUCCACCUAUCCUCUCUUUUCUAAUCGAACAGAAACUCAAAUCCUAUUCUCUUCUUUUCCAUUUCUCUUCAUUCUCUACAGCACCACUUGCAGCCCUCUUCCAUCAAAUCUAUCUCCCCGACCAUCUCUGCUCACAACUGCCAUCAUGAAAACGUCAAAUAUAUUUCUCUCUCAACCUUAUCAUCUUAUCAAGAACAGUGAACCUAGAAGCUAUGUUUGAGAGAGAUAGAGUUAGGGUUAUCCUAAACAUCAAAUUAAUGAAAUUGCAGAGGGGACAAGAAAUUCAGGCAAUUAUGAUGUACAUCUUCCAAGUAGUCUUGGUGUAUCUUAUGUUCAGCUAAGAAAUUUCUAUCACCAACAAAAUCAUAUGCAGCAUUCCGGAUUUACAGGCGUAAAGAUGUACUGGCUAGCUGGAAACUGAUAAACAAAGUCACUGCAGAGGAUUUUUUCUCAGCAAGACUUUCGAAAACGGGAGCCAUAAACACCAUUAUGGGUUCUAAGGUGACUGCUGCUAAUGCUUAGAAUAUGCAUGGACUUCACACACUUGGGGUGCCUCUUUCUCGCAUUGGAUACACACCUGGUGCAAUAUAUUUGAUUAAACAUAGUGUUGUUCAUCUAUUCCCAUCAAUAAAUUCAAGAGCUUGACAUUUUCAAA
Papaver somniferum (opium poppy) is the source of this 769-nucleotide long non-coding RNA. RefSeq lists it as uncharacterized. The record is from RefSeq and is a predicted model, not a curated record. NCBI's taxonomy places the organism in Eukaryota, Viridiplantae, Streptophyta, Magnoliopsida, Ranunculales, Papaveraceae. The transcript is spliced from 2 exons.